UCCUCCGGGAGGGGGAGGUCGCGCUCCGACACCCGAUAGCGAACGGUCGAAGUCCCUUCCCGGGACCUCAAGGACUCAUGUCCUCAUAAUCAUCCCGGGGAGACUCCGAAAAACCGUAUUCCCCUCGCCGAAACAUCUAUCGAGGGAGGGAUCGGUCGCCCUUCCUUCCGAGAAACGACCAUAACCUACUCCACUAC
RNAcentral lists this ribosomal RNA (197 nucleotides) under Vahlkampfia sp. 1 AM-2013. RNAcentral's name for it is "5.8S ribosomal RNA". Lineage: Eukaryota; Heterolobosea; Eutetramitea; Acrasida; Vahlkampfiidae. The record is from RNAcentral.